GACGAACGCUGGCGGCGUGCUUAACACAUGCAAGUCGAACGGAAAGGCCCUGCUUUUGUGGGGUGCUCGAGUGGCGAACGGGUGAGUAACACGUGAGUAACCUUCCCUUGACUUUGGGAUAACUUCAGGAAACUGGGGCUAAUACCCGAUAGGAGCUCCUGCUGCAUGGUGGGGGUUGGAAAGUUUCGGCGGUUGGGGAUGGACUCGCGGCUUAUCAGCUUGUUGGUGGGGUAGUGGCUUACCAAGGCUUUGACGGGUAGCCGGCCUGAGAGGGUGACCGGCCACAUUGGGACUGAGAUACGGCCCAGACUCCUACGGGAGGCAGCAGUGGGGAAUAUUGCACAAUGGGCGGAAGCCUGAUGCAGCAACGCCGCGUGCGGGAUGACGGCCUUCGGGUUGUAAACCGCUUUCGCCUGUGACGAAGCGUGAGUGACGGUAAUGGGUAAAGAAGCACCGGCUAACUACGUG
RNAcentral lists this ribosomal RNA (468 nucleotides) under uncultured bacterium. RNAcentral's name for it is "partial 16S ribosomal RNA". It matches the Rfam family "Bacterial small subunit ribosomal RNA", at positions 28 to 507 of the family's 1533-position model. The record is from RNAcentral.